GUUGGUGGAGUGAUUUGUCUGGUUAAUUCCGUUAACGAACGAGACCGCCGCCUGCUAAAUAGUUCCGUGAAUCAUUUUUGAUUGAUGAGAGCUUCUUAGAGGGACGUCCAUUCUACAAGAUGGAGGAAGAUGGCGGCAAUAACAGG
This 146-nucleotide ribosomal RNA is filed under the name Ochrophyta sp. RNAcentral's name for it is "partial small subunit ribosomal RNA". It matches the Rfam family "Eukaryotic small subunit ribosomal RNA", at positions 1297 to 1460 of the family's 1831-position model. The record is from RNAcentral.